UCGCCAUAUUCAGUGUGGCUGCGCGUGUUGAAAGCCGCGGCUGCCAAUCACCGGCCAAGGUCUUUCCCGUCUUUGUCAUUUAGUUUCUCCUCCCUCCUUCCCGUGGACCUAAGCCAGAGACGCGGUUGAGCUCGCAGGAAUCCCUUUAGAUGUCUUUUUAUCUGUGAGGCCUAACACCUUAAUUAGUUGUCUGUCUAUCAUCGCUUUGCCUGUCCUCACAGCCCUCCCUGUUCAAGAAACCUUCCUCCCCAAGAAGAAUGUGAAAGACUCUUGGUCACUGGCCUCAACCCUGAGUCAUCAGGAGUGGCAAAGCCUCCCAGACAGAGCAUCCCCAGAUGACGGACAGCUCUUUGUGUCUAUAAUGGCAUGUGUACCCUGGAGGAGAAGGAAUGCAUCCUGAGAACCAGCUUGACCCCUCAAGUAAAAAGGACUUCUUACACUGAGAGAAGGAUCAACCAGCUCACACUAGACAAGGCUGAAGUCUCCUAAAGUUUCUGUGAUGUCAGAGCCUGAACCAGUCAAGCAGUCUUCUGUAACAAGCAAGGCCUCAAGUGGAGGGAUUGGGACACUAACCCAGACACAAAACCUUUGAGCUACAGUGUGUCCUGCCUUCAGAGUGUUCUGGGACUGGAGCUUAGCAAAAUUGUCAUCAGAGAGACCAGAGAGACUUCAUCCAGCAACUAAUAGGAGUAGAUGAAGAGUACCAGAGCCCACCAUUACAGGGAGCUUGCAGAGUCCUACCGAAGAAGGAAAGGAAGG
Apodemus sylvaticus (European woodmouse) is the source of this 759-nucleotide long non-coding RNA. RefSeq lists it as uncharacterized. The record is from RefSeq and is a predicted model, not a curated record. The transcript has 3 exons. Lineage: Eukaryota; Metazoa; Chordata; Mammalia; Rodentia; Muridae.